Molecule: long non-coding RNA, 209 nt
Filed under: Carica papaya (papaya)
Lineage: Eukaryota; Viridiplantae; Streptophyta; Magnoliopsida; Brassicales; Caricaceae
Description: long non-coding RNA (CPAP_LNC015364)
Source: RNAcentral
UAUCAACCAGUACUCGGCUUUCUCAAAAGUAGAUGCUCUUGCAAAAAUAGAUAGGUUAAAUAUCUUGUACCUUUCAAUGUAACAUGGGUCCAUCAUGAGCAAAACUAGAUCCUGCUGGAGGGCAAUUGGAUUAUGCUGAGGAGGGAUUGAGUGGCCUUAUAGAGGCACCAAAUUGUAUUAUUGAGGUACUAGAUUGUACUGGGAGAAUA